Molecule: long non-coding RNA, 306 nt
Organism: Nomascus leucogenys (northern white-cheeked gibbon)
Lineage: Eukaryota; Metazoa; Chordata; Mammalia; Primates; Hylobatidae
Exons: 3
Source: RefSeq, a predicted model, not a curated record
UGGCUGUGCCUUGGUUUCGGACUUCUAGCCCUUGGAACUACUGUUUGACCUCUGGUAACUAAAACUGCAGAAGGCAAAACUGGAUAAGGAGACUACCGUAAUGAUUAUGCUAUUGUAAGACACUCUAUUGCUAACAUGAGACAUUUUUAUAAUAGACCAGAAUCCUGCUAGGACAUCUCUGCCUGUGGAAGGAGGGCUGGAUGGCACACUGGGAAUGGCUUUCUAGGAUGACUUCCUGUUGCUACAGACUACAGGCAGCACUUCUGGCCUUGACGUUGUCUGAAUAAAGAAGGCAUAGGAGUUUCA